AUUCACUACAAUUCUUGAAAUGCUUCUUCUCUUGCUUAUUUUAGUUGAAACUGUUUUAUACACUUGCAGUUGCAGUGGAGCUUAUUCAAGUCCAUUAUGUAUUGAAAGUGAGAGAGAUGCACUUCUUGAGUUCAAGCGAGGCCUCACUGACCCUUUGAACUUAUUGUCCUCCUGGGAUGCAGAAAUGUCUCAAGACUGCUGUGCGUGGAAGGGUGUUGCUUGCAGCAAUAAAACUGGCCAUGUCUUCAAGCUUGACCUUCGAAUCGAAUAUGGCUACUUGGGAGGUGAGAUCAAUCCUUCUUUACUUAAUUUGACGUACCUCAGUUAUUUGGAUCUAAGCCUGAACAAUUUCUUUGGCAUUGAAAUUCCAAGAUUUCUAGGUUCCCUAGAAAACUUGAAUUAUCUGAACCUUUCUUAUUCAGGCUUCAUGGGAAAGGUUCCCCAUCAUCUUGGAAACCUUUCCAACUUGCAAUCUCUUGAUCUCAGUACUUGGAAUCAAGAUUUGACAGUUGAGAAUCUCGACUUUGUGCAAUCUCUUUCAUCUUUGAAAUACUUAGAGUUGUCUGGAGUGAUCCUUUCUAACCCAGAAAAUUGGUUACACUCAAUAAACAUGCUUCCAGCUCUAGUAGAAUUACAUUUGUCCAGUUGUCACAUUCUCAAAAUUUCUCACUUCCUGCAUGUCAAUUUCACUUCUCUUGAGGUUCUCGAUCUUAGCUUUAACUACUUCAGCUCCCCCAUCCCACGGUGGCUGUUCAAUAUUAGCAAAAUUCAACGCCUUGAUCUAAGUUCAAAUGCUUUCCAAGGGUCCAUUCCACGUGAGAUGGGCAAUUAUAGUCUGGUUGUAGUCCUUGAUUUAUCUUAUAAUCAUCUAGAGGGUGAAGUUCCAGAAAAGUUGAGUAAUCUAUGCAAUUUGCAGGAUCUCAACUUGGCAAACAACCAUUUCAGUGGUGAGGUUUUUGGACCUUUAAUUGCCAGUCCAUCUAGAUGCAUUAAAAGUAGCUUAAAGAGCUUGAAUGUUGCAUUUAACAAAUUUAGAGGUAGCCUUCCAGAUCAAUUGGGACAAUUUCAGCAUUUAGAAAGCCUAGAUAUUUCUAAUAACUACCUCAACGGUCCAAUCACAGCAUCAAUCGGAAGACUUUCUAGUUUAAGAAAAUUGUUUCUCAAGGGUAAUUACCUGAACGGCAGUAUUCCUCAAA
RNAcentral lists this unclassified non-coding RNA (1196 nucleotides) under Hevea brasiliensis (rubber tree). The record is from RNAcentral. Lineage: Eukaryota; Viridiplantae; Streptophyta; Magnoliopsida; Malpighiales; Euphorbiaceae.